Apis cerana (Asiatic honeybee) is the source of this 1137-nucleotide long non-coding RNA. RefSeq lists it as uncharacterized. The record is from RefSeq and is a predicted model, not a curated record. NCBI's taxonomy places the organism in Eukaryota, Metazoa, Arthropoda, Insecta, Hymenoptera, Apidae.
AUAUAAUAUAUGUGAUCAUUUAAGUUUAUUGUUCCUGUGCUGUAGGAUAUAAAUAAAACAUAAAUAGAGAGUUUCAGAAUUUGUUGGGAAAUGUCAAAGAAUUUUAAUAAUAGAAGUAUAGAAGUAUAGACAUAGAAGAAUAUAACAAUAAUGAUUUUUAAUAAUGAAUGUUUUCUUAAUAAAAGAAAUUAUUAGAUUCUUAUUUUUUUAUUAUUAAAAUAUAUUAUCUAUAGUUUAAAAAAAAAUAAUAAGCUAUUAAAAAGGUGAAUGUGCUAGAAGAAACUAGUACAUCGCAAAUGAAUCUAUGGAAACAAUACAAAACUAUAAUACAAUACAAUGCUUGAAAAGAAUUGAAAAAAGAAUAUCUACACGAGAAUGCAUUCUCUUUUAAAUAUAUACAAGUACUACGAAUUAUUUAUAAUUACACAAUCUUAAUCUAGUUUGUACUUUAUAUAACAUUAAUCUUCAAAAUGAAAUUUAUAUAGAAAUAAUUUAAUGAAUACAGAUUAAGUAUAAUAUAUUCCAUUUAUAUAAAUUAAUAUUAUAUAUAUUUUUUUUUAUGAAAACUUUUUUUAUUUUAUUUUUGCUUUAUUUACUUACCAUAUUAUGCAUUAAAUAUUACAUCAAAUGUAAAAAUAUGAUCAUUAGGACUUAAUUAAUUUUCUCAAAGUUUGUCAUAUUUAAAUUAAUUAUUUAUAAUUUUAAUUAAAUAAUUGGUUUUCAUUCUAAAUGAGUAAUAAUUAUGCAGAUUUAUAUUUUUUUAUAUUUAAUAAUAUUAACGAUAUUAUUAAAGUACACGAUGAACAAGAAAAAUGUUUCUUGAGAAACAUCUAUAUAUUGAUUUACAUAAUUAUUGAUCCAUAAAAACUAUUUCAAAUAUGCGAUUUACGACGAGAUUUUUCAUUUCAGACUAUUUUAACCUUUUUUAAAGCAUAUGUUAAUGAUAUAUAAAACAAAAGAAAAAUAUUUUCCAAAAUUUUUAUAGUUUUUUAUAUUUUGUUGGAGUAAAUCAUUAAAAACGAGAAAAAAGACAAAAUUAUAUACAACUUAAAAUAAUUCUUUUAAUUUACAAAAUUAAAAUUAAACUUUUUUUACUACUUUUCUUUCCAAAUACCAUAAAAUUUCAUCUCUUUCAAC